RNAcentral lists this ribosomal RNA (490 nucleotides) under uncultured bacterium. RNAcentral describes it as "partial 16S ribosomal RNA". It matches the Rfam family "Bacterial small subunit ribosomal RNA", at positions 30 to 507 of the family's 1533-position model. The record is from RNAcentral.
AUUGAACGCUGGCGGCAGGCCUAACACAUGCAAGUCGAAUGGUAACAGGAAACAGCUUGCUGUUUCGCUGACGAGUGGCGGACGGGUGAGUAAUGUCUGGGAAACUGCCUUAUGGAGGGGGUUAACUACUGGAAACGGUAGCUAAUACCGCAUAACUUCGCAAGACCAAAGAUGGGGACCUUCGGGCCUCUUUCCUUUAGAUUUUCCCAGAUGGGAUUAGCUAGUAGGUGGGGUAACGGCUCACCUAGGCGACGAUCCCUAGCUGGUCUGAGAGGAUGACCAGCCACACUGGAACUGAGACACGGUCCAGACUCCUACGGGAGGCAGCAGUGGGGAAUAUUGCACAAUGGGCGCAAGCCUGAUGCAGCCAUGCCGCGUGUAUGAAGAAGGCCUUCGGGUUGUAAAGUACUUUUAGCGGGGAGGAAGGGAGUAAAGUUAAUACCUUUGCUCAUUGACGUUACCCGCAGAAGAAGCACCGGCUAACUCCGUG